GGAGACCCGGCCUCCAGAAACUGACCUCUCCUCCAGCAGUGGAAGCUUAGUGGACCACAGCGUACCAGUGAAGCAGAACCCAGGGAUGUUCAAAGAGAUGAUGCAGAAAGUAAACCCAUUCAGGUCAAACACACAGGUGGCAGAUGGUGCUUGUGAGACCGACUCUGUGGUUCCAACUCGCAGCAUCGAGG
Nematolebias whitei (Rio pearlfish) is the source of this 191-nucleotide long non-coding RNA. RefSeq lists it as uncharacterized. Lineage: Eukaryota; Metazoa; Chordata; Actinopteri; Cyprinodontiformes; Rivulidae. The record is from RefSeq and is a predicted model, not a curated record. The transcript has 3 exons.